This 1431-nucleotide long non-coding RNA is filed under the name Ananas comosus (pineapple). Its description in RNAcentral is "long non-coding RNA (ACOM_LNC036952)". The record is from RNAcentral. Lineage: Eukaryota; Viridiplantae; Streptophyta; Magnoliopsida; Poales; Bromeliaceae.
AAGGAAGAAAAAUUGAAGCAAGUUUGGAGAAGAUUAGAGUAGCUUGAAGUUGAAGCUCUCUCUAAUGGUGGAAGCAAGCUUUCCAAUAGUGGAUUUAGCUUGAUGUGAAUGGUGGUCUAAGGUGAGAUCUCAUAAUUUAAGCUAGGAUUUGGUUUAAUCCUUAAUGCUUAGUGUUCCAAUAGCCUCUAAUGUGUUGAUUAGCAUGUUAAAUCCAUUUAAUUUGGGUUAAUUGGAGCAUGUGUAGAGGCUAGGUUUAUAAUGAUAGAUCUUAAGAGCUUUAAUUAUAUGCUCUAAGAAUGGAUUUAGAGGAAUCCUUAGAUGCUAAAUGGAUGACUAUUGCAUGAAUUAAGGGAUCAUAUGAUGAAUUCUUGCAAUAGUGUAUCUUAAGGCUCAAAAAUGGGAUUUUGUAAAAUAGUAGGGUUUGAUCUCAUUUGACCCUCCGUAAACCUAAUUGCUAGGUAAACGAACGCGUUGGCGAAGUCGGUUCGGCGAUUCGUCGAGCCGUUGCAAAGUUAUUAAAGAAACGGAUGUUUAGGCUUCGUUUCCGCCUGGAAGGCCGAGGCGACUUCCAAAAAUCAUGAGGUUGGAUCUGAAGCAUCGUGGUAGCAUGCCGAAGAGCUUCUGCACUUAAAACUGCGAAGCGGACGCUCUUGUAGCGCAACUGUAAGAUUGGGCCCUUAGCGGGUGCUGAGUGUCGCAGGUAGCGAACCGGGCGGCUAAAAAUCCCGAGAAAUUUAUCAUAGCACCUUAGAGGACCUACGAGGUGGGUGGUGCUUUCCAAACUCAUUGAAAUUCUCUCUAUGCCUAAUGUGUCAUUCUUUGAGCAUAUGUUCUAUAUAUUGUUGCAUGCAUUUUAGGGUAAAGUAAUGAUGAAAUGUGAUGAUUGCAUGAUUGUGAGCACAACUUGCAUAAUGAGAUGGUUGAGAACCUAAUAAUGUCAAAACCCUAGAUGUAUGCAUGAUAGAAAAUGUGAGCACCCAAAGUGAGCAAAAGAACAGAGUGACACUGUGACAUAGAUCGAGUGGCAUCUAAAUAAUGUAAAGUAAAGUGACACUAGAGUUAGUGUGAAGCAAAGAAUCGAAGUGAUAUAAAGAAUGAUGACGAUCACUAAAGCUAAAGCAAAGAGAGCAAUAAAGAACGUGUAAAGCUAAAGAAUGUGAUUGCUAGAGUUAGCAAAAGUAAAAGAAAUGCAAAGAGCAAUGAUUGCUAGAGUGGCAACAUAAAGUGAUGUAAUGAACACUAGAGUUAGUGUAAAGUCAAGAUUGAACAUACAAUCCUUUGAGUUAAGGAUUUCGAUCAUGCUUGCUAUGAGUUCCGUGCUCGAGGGCGGUCGCUCCCCCUCGGGCGAUGCGCUCCGGAGUUAUGCAUCCGGGUUGGAGUAGACCCGUAAGGACGGUCCUAGCUGGUGAGUACCUGCGAUGAUGGACUUAA